GAAAUGCGAUAAGUAAUGUGAAUUGCAGAAUUCAGUGAAUCAUCGAAUCUUUGAACGCACCUUGCGCUCCUUGGUAUUCCUUGGAGCAUGCCUGUUUGAGUAUCAUGAAAUCUUCAAAGUAAAUCUUUUGUUAACUCAAUUGGUUUCUACUUUGGUAUUGGAGGUCUUUGCAGCUUCACACCUGCUCCUCUUUGUUCAAUAGCUGGAUCUCAGUGUUAUGCUUGGUUCCACUCGGCGUGAUAAGUUAUCUAUCGCUGAGGACACUGUAAAAGGUGGCCAAGGAAAUGCAGAUGAACCGCUUCUAAUAGUCCAUUGACUUGGACAAUACUUUUAUGAUCUGAUCUCAAAUCAGGUAGGACUACCCGCUGAACUUAAGC
This 377-nucleotide unclassified non-coding RNA is filed under the name plant metagenome. RNAcentral's name for it is "partial contains 5.8S ribosomal RNA, internal transcribed spacer 2, and large subunit ribosomal RNA". The stretch from base 1 to 105 matches the Rfam family "5.8S ribosomal RNA", at positions 50 to 154 of the family's 154-position model. The record is from RNAcentral.